UAAUACGUAGGGUCCGAGCGUUGUCCGGAAUUAUUGGGCGUAAAGAGCUCGUAGGCGGUUUGUCGCGUCUGCUGUGAAAACUAGAGGCUCAACCUCUAGCCUGCAGUGGGUACGGGCAGACUUGAGUGGUGUAGGGGAGACUGGAAUUCCUGGUGUAGCGGUGGAAUGCGCAGAUAUCAGGAGGAACACCGAUGGCGAAGGCAGGUCUCUGGGCACUUACUGACGCUGAGGAGCGAAAGCGUGGGGAGCGAACAGGAUUAGAUACCCUGGUAGUCCACGCCGUAAACGUUGGGCGCUAGAUGUGGGGACCUUUCCACGGUUUCCGUGUCGUAGCUAACGCAUUAAGCGCCCCGCCUGGGGAGUACGGCCGCAAGGCUAAAACUUAAAUGAAUUGACGG
RNAcentral lists this ribosomal RNA (398 nucleotides) under uncultured bacterium. RNAcentral describes it as "bacterial SSU rRNA". It matches the Rfam family "Bacterial small subunit ribosomal RNA", at positions 521 to 916 of the family's 1533-position model. The record is from RNAcentral.